CUUCCGUCAACAAGAGCGCAUUCAGCUUGGCGCAGGCGCAGUAGCAAUUGAAUUAUCUUCUGGAGUUCUGUUGAUGAAUUUCCAAAACUGGGUACCAGAAAAUUUCAGCUUCACAGUGACGUCGUCAAGCCAAACUCCAUGCUUGCAAAAAGGAAGGAAAGAGACUUGCAGAAAUCCGACUGGCCUCGGGCACUUUCAGAGUCACACCACUCUGUGGGGAGUUGUCUAAUUGCCUAAAUCAGUUGUUAAAGAAGCUAGAAAAAGCUCCAGCCAUUCACCUUGUGCUUCUAUAAAACACAAAAGUACUUUUUAUGCUAGAAAAAGUUAAAAGCUUUACCUUCUGGGACAAACAGUUAAAACAUUAAAGAGCAACAUUGACAUGUUGAUUCUGCAAUGUGCUUUGCAGCAAAUGCCUGUAUAUUUAUUUGCCCAUUUUUUUUCCUUUCGUGGUUCUUGUGCUUUUGAACCAUUGUGUGUGGCAGAAAAAAUAAAUAGAUGCAAAUCUUCUCAGUUUUCUGAAACAAUGGCUGAAAAUAUUUUAGACUUGACACCAAGGCCUUAGUUAAGAAAAACAAAGUGAUCAGCAUGUUUGGGAAAAAAGGAUGUACAGCUACCCACUGAAAGUAAUAAUGUACUAGAAAAAUUAAAGGAUGUUGUGUGUCUCUCAGAGAAUUACAUUUUAAUACUUCUUUAUUGUAUUAUAUGCUGUUAAUUUGACUAAUGUUAAUUACUCCCAGAUCUUAUUAAAAAGUCUUGUUUUUAUUUUCCACUGUUUAAUGAAAUCCAGACUUUUAAAAGUCUGUAAUUUAGGAUAUAUUCUGUUUACUUACAUGCAUAGGUACAAGGCUGUCAAUUUUUUCUUCCCCAUUUGUGGGAAGUUGAUUUGAGAGACAGUUGUGUCUAGUGAUUAAGGCAUCAGGCUUAGAAAACAGGAGAGUGAGUUGUAGUCCUGCCUUAGGCAUGAAAGCCAGCUGGGUGACUUUAAGCCAAUUGUUCUUUCUCAGCCAUGAAGUCAGGCUUCGGUGACAAAUUGGUUAGUCAAUUCCUAUUGUAAACAAUGGAUCAACACCUUGGUUAUCUCAGAAAAGUGGACCUGUACUUCUGGAAAAAAAAACACUAGAAAGAGAAAAAAUUGUUGACAAAUAUAGAAAAAACUCCCAUAUAUCCAAGAGUGAUGAACAUUUCAUAAAGUGAAAAUGUAUAUGAAAAGUGUGGUGAAAUUCAUUCAUGAAAGGAACAUAAUUGUAUCCUCAUGCUGAAAGAGAACACUCCUGAAAACCAGAUGAAGUAAAACAAUGCUAGAGCAUUGUAUUUGUGCACCAUUGUAGCAUUAUUGUGCCAUUGGCAAGCUGUUACCAAUAGAUAUUUUUCCAGUCAGACAUCAAAUGUGAACUAUUGAAUUAACUCAAUAAUAUUUUAGAGAAAGAAUGGACUUAUUCAGAAUUCCGGAGUUCUCAAAGAGCUCCUGAACAAAUGUGGAGGAACCAUUGAGAUACAGAACCUUCAACAGCUUCUUUCUUCCUUUCCCUUUCCCAGAAUGGAGGGCUGGUACUGACUUUUUGGUUGAUUGUAAUACAACACAACAAAA
Crotalus tigris (Tiger rattlesnake) is the source of this 1588-nucleotide long non-coding RNA. RefSeq lists it as uncharacterized. The record is from RefSeq and is a predicted model, not a curated record. The transcript has 2 exons. NCBI's taxonomy places the organism in Eukaryota, Metazoa, Chordata, Lepidosauria, Squamata, Viperidae.